Molecule: ribosomal RNA, 497 nt
Filed under: uncultured bacterium
Lineage: Bacteria
Description: partial 16S ribosomal RNA
Rfam family: Bacterial small subunit ribosomal RNA
Source: RNAcentral
GAUGAACGCUGGCGGCGUGCCUAAUACAUGCAAGUCGAGCGAACGGACGAGAAGCUUGCUUCUCUGAUGUUAGCGGCGGACGGGUGAGUAACACGUGGAUAACCUACCUAUAAGACUGGGAUAACUUCGGGAAACCGGAGCUAAUACCGGAUAAUAUUUUGAACCGCAUGGUUCAACAGUGAAAGACGGUCUUGCUGUCACUUAUAGAUGGAUCCGCGCUGCAUUAGCUAGUUGGUAAGGUAACGGCUUACCAAGGCAACGAUGCAUAGCCGACCUGAGAGGGUGAGCGGCCACACUGGAACUGAGACACGGUCCAGACUCCUACGGGAGGCAGCAGUAGGGAAUCUUCCGCAAUGGGCGAAAGCCUGACGGAGCAACGCCGCGUGAGUGAUGAAGGUCUUCGGAUCGUAAAACUCUGUUAUUAGGGAAGAACAUAUGUGUAAGUAACUGUGCACAUCUUGACGGUACCUAAUCAGAAAGCCACGGCUAACUACGUG